UGCAAAAAUACGUUGGGCUCUUUCCACGUCACAUCGCCGCCGGCCGCCAAGAUCGAGGCGGCGCCGCUGCGCCGUGCGCCUGGGGUGAGGGGCGGGGAGGCGACGGGGCCGAGGGCCACCGUGCGCGCUGGGAGCAGCCUCCGCCUCGGCCCGAUUCGACGCCGGCGCUGGCUCCGCGGCUCGGCAUCGUGCUCUUAUCGCUGCGCCGUAUCGCGGCGGAUGGCGCCUCAGCCGGAGUGCGCCGCUCCGCGCGCGCCUGAGGGAGUCGUGGUAUGGCGUAGCCACUCGUCGGAAGGAGCCCAGCCGAACGCUGGAGGGCCCUCGCCGGGGCUGUUCCAGUGCUUCAACUGAAGGAAUUUUAUUCGAAGAACAACAUGGAUUAGAAUUUGCACAAAGUUGCAUCAGCAGUUGUGCUAUGGGAGUUUGAUAUAAUCUAUGGUUUACCGCAGGAAUCAUAUCUGUGAGAAGCUGAACUGAAGUAUUUGUCUCUGUGCUGAAAUUCAUGAUCGUCAUACAAUUGGCAUUGUCCAUUGCCAGUACUGCUAAUGCUUCACCUGCGGUCUUCUUGAGUCCUUCACUCUCAUUAGCAGCAUCAAAGAAGAUGUCCAUCAAGUCGUUAAUGAAAUCAGCUACGCCAUCAAGUCCAAGGGUAGCUCGAGUGGACGUAUCCAAAGAUAGCUCCGUAAGGAUCUUUGUUGCUGGAACCUUUAGCUUGUCGUACAUGUGGUCCUUUUCCAAGAUUGAGCAAAUAUUGUGCGCUACUAUCCCGUUGCUACAAAUAUCUUGGCGUAUCUUUUCAUUGGUUUCAUCUGUGCCACUGACAAGCAUGCUCACCACUUCCAGUGCCUUCUCAGUUAUUUCCAUGGUGAUACCAUCAUCUCUGAGGAUCUCAUACACUUUAUUUUUUACUGGGGAUAUGAUUUUGGAGAAGAGACCCUUGUAAUCAUAUAUGUGCUUGCAGUUGUCCGGGUUAACUGCAAGCUUGGCAAGAAUCAACAGGCCAUGGAUAAUUAGAGGUUUGCUUUCAGCUCCACUGGUAGUCCUGGAGGAUUGAAGAGUUCUUUGCUGUCUAUUUCUGAUGAUUUCUGCUCUCUGCCGAGCUACCCUUUCCAUUAAUUGCUUAACAAAAAUACAAGAUCCAUUGCUUUCUCCUCCAUUGGCAGUGCUGGCUGACUGAAUAGCCCCCUGCUGGUCAAUUGUGAUGUCAAUAGCUGUCUGAUGGUCAAUGUUGACAUUGGUAGCCGGUGUUGAUAUUUUCGUAAAGUAGGGAUCAAUCAUGGAAGAAAUGGACUCUGUUGCUCCUGAAAUGGACUCUGUUGCUGGCAAGAUGUGCCACAAUUUGUGCGAUGCAUAUUUUUGUCCUCUGAUCAGUGCGGCUCUUUGAGGUAACCAUGUCAAGCAGCCUAGAAACACAGAGCGGUGAGGAUUGUAUCUGGGAUAGUGUUCUUGUUCUAUGGUCCUCUUGGGAUGUCAAUCUAUGCAUCACCAAAACUGCAUCAAUGCGGUCCUGACUGUACUCAGAUUUCAUCAUUUCUGCUGCGAAGGAAGCCAGGUUCCUGUUGAUUGUACUUGACACCCCAUUUUUUAUGGCCAUGCUCAAGGUUUUGUCCAUAUAUUUGUCAAUCAAUUCUCUCUUAUCCUCAAGUCCAUACUUGAAGCUCACGUGGUUUGCAAGAUAAGAGCGAUACAACCUCAGAAACAACCACAAGAUGAACAAUCCACCUUGGAGAAGCACGAGAGCAUAGAACAAGAUAAGUGCACGAAACACAUUGGAAUUGUCAUGGUGUCUCGACAGGAUGGCAAUGAGACGAUAGAUGGAAAGUGAUAUGCAGCCUAGCCCUGCGAUCAUCGGGACCGCAAGGACCAAUAUUGCUAAGAAGGCCACAAUGGUUAUGAAAUCCCUCGCACUUCCAAGUGCCAGCAUGAGAUAGUAAACGAAAUUUUGGCCAGUUGCUCGGCCAGUCAGCGGCCUCCCCCGCCCCCAUUUCGUGUAGUGCUCGGCGCCCAAUUCGAGGAAUGCUGGUGGAACUUGGUUGAAGAAUUCUGCCUCGGGGCUUACAUUUAUGCCCACGACCCUGUGGCUCAACAGAGACAAACUAAUUACUCCUACUGUACUGGAUCUGUUUUAUAUUACGGCUAGUCAAGAGUGAUAAGCAGAGGACGGGGAUUGAGGAGAGUAAAAAGGACCAGAGGGAGUAUGAAGACGAUGGCGGUGAUGACCCAGAAAUCAGCCUUCUGUAGGGAAGUGGAGAAACCGCCGAGCAGGACGACGGUCGCCCAGACCAAGGCGAGGGCGCCGAGCCCCGUGGCAAGGAUCUGCAGGAACAUCUCGGUUACCAUGCAGAUGUUAAGUGGCAGCUCUGGUACCUGGUGCAAGGGCGUGUCUCCGCUCGUUGGCCGUUCAAGGUCGAGCCCUCGAGCACCUUGCAGCUGGAGUGCAUCCUUCAAGACCACCACGACUCCACGCACAAGUUGCACCACCACCCUCGAAGCCGCCCUCCAAGCCGCCCCUACCACCACCUCCAUUCUGCUUGCGGUCUGUUCAACCAAGCAGCUUGGUUCUCCUCUAUCAAGUGUUCUAGUCUUCUAGCUCUAAAUGCUGUCUGGGAAUGCAAGCGCACACAUAUAUCCUAGAAUCAGACAACCACCAGGUAUAUA
Long non-coding RNA from Triticum aestivum (bread wheat), 2658 nucleotides. RefSeq lists it as uncharacterized. NCBI's taxonomy places the organism in Eukaryota, Viridiplantae, Streptophyta, Magnoliopsida, Poales, Poaceae. The record is from RefSeq and is a predicted model, not a curated record. The transcript is spliced from 3 exons.